CGUGGGCUCACGUUGUAGUCCAGGCUGGCCUUGAAUUCACAGUGAUCCUCCUGCCUCAGCUUCCUGAGUGCUGGGAU
MicroRNA precursor from Cavia porcellus (domestic guinea pig), 77 nucleotides. The record is from Ensembl. NCBI's taxonomy places the organism in Eukaryota, Metazoa, Chordata, Mammalia, Rodentia, Caviidae.